UUUUUUGACAAAAGGCUCGCAUAUUUAUAUAUAAAAGAAAGAAAAUGUUUUACAAGCACAUGCAUAUAUUCAUGGCUAUAAACCCACCUUAGUUAACAAACCAUCAUUAAACCCAUAAUUAAAAAGAUCAGAUUUGGCCCAAAUAGCCCAAGUAACUGAAUCGACUUCCAAGUUCGCUAAUCUCAAUUACGAUGCCGUCGAAAGCCAAAGCUGCAUAUAGCGAGAAGAGAUGAUCGGAGAAUCAAACCUGUAACCGCUGAUGCGAUCGGUGAUCUGACGUGUGAUCAGUUUGAUGACCGCAUCCUGAGAGCGGUAUUGAUUGUUGUGUAACCUUUUGUUCCUCUCCUGCCAUACCCAGUAUAUCGUCGAUUGCCAACAUAACAAUUGGUUGCAGGUGACAUCUUCUGGAAAUCUCCACCCAAAUUCCCCAACUGUACGGACACAGAUAGAAUAAAUGGUCCCUUGAUUCAGCAGCCUGAUUACAGAGAAGACAAGCCCCAUCCGUUUGAAGUCCCCAGCCUAUAAGAUGGUCCCUAGUUGGGCAUCUAUUCAGUACAAACAACCAAGUUAGGAAGUUGUGGCGUGGAAUUCCUCUACCAAUCCAAACAAUUGAAGCCCACGCGAUCCUCUGUCUCAGUCAGACCUAAUGUUGUGAAGAAUAUAUGGAGUUGAAGCAUACUUUCAGAGCGUGGAGGAGGAAGUCUCCAGUUUCCACCAACAAAAAGGUCCGCUACGGUUGUUUUCAAGCUUAUACCCAUACCUGAAGUAUGGUCUGAGAGCAGAAACUGUGAAAGUUUCCCAAAGGGGGACCAAUUAUCUGACCAGAAGCGACAGGAUUCUCCAUUGCCUACUUGCAUCCUUAUCCAGGUAUAGACUUCAUCUCUGAGCUUGAAAAGCUUAUUGACAAGCCAUGAGUUUGAUGUUGAAGGUCUCAUAGUCCAGAAAUUUGAAAGGGAGCCUUUUAGAACUUCUGCCUUGAACCAUCCCACCCAAAUUGAUCCUGCUUGAAAGAACAGCAACCAUAUCAGUUUUAUACAACACGCCUUGUUCCAAGUUAAUAGGUCCUUUACCCCUAGUCCACCACUAGUUUUUUCCUUAGUCACCACUUCCCAAGAUACCUUAGCCGAGUGAUGCGAAUCAAGUCUACCUUUCCAUAGGAAUAGUCCACACAAGGAAUUUAUUCUUUUUAUACAGGCUUUAGGAAGUAGGAAGGUUGAGCACCAGAAGUUAGUAAUACCCGCAAUGACUGUUUUGAUUAAGAGAAGCCUUCCAGCAAACGACAGUGUCUUUACAGUCCAUGAAGUGAAUUUUGAUUUGACUUGCCGUAUCAGAACCUCACAGUU
This is a long non-coding RNA of Brassica napus (rape), 1343 nucleotides long. RefSeq lists it as uncharacterized. The record is from RefSeq and is a predicted model, not a curated record. The transcript is spliced from 3 exons. Lineage: Eukaryota; Viridiplantae; Streptophyta; Magnoliopsida; Brassicales; Brassicaceae.